GGAGAGAUGGCAGAGUGGUCUAUUGCGUCUGACUUGAAAUCAGGAGAACUAAAAUGGUUCCGUGAGUUCGAAUCUCACUCUCUCCU
RNAcentral lists this transfer RNA (86 nucleotides) under Neotessella volvocina. RNAcentral's name for it is "tRNA-Ser". It matches the Rfam family "tRNA". Rfam says of the family: Transfer RNA (tRNA) molecules are approximately 80 nucleotides in length. The record is from RNAcentral. Lineage: Eukaryota; Synurophyceae; Synurales; Neotessellaceae.